Long non-coding RNA from Stegostoma tigrinum, 3652 nucleotides. RefSeq lists it as uncharacterized. The record is from RefSeq and is a predicted model, not a curated record. The transcript is spliced from 2 exons. NCBI's taxonomy places the organism in Eukaryota, Metazoa, Chordata, Chondrichthyes, Orectolobiformes, Stegostomatidae.
UUGGCAGGACAGGAGAUUUGCAAGCUUGUGAAAUCCACAUUGAUACCAUUGGGCUGCAGGGUUCCCAAGCAGAAUGAGUUGCUGUUCCUGCAACCUUCGGGUGGCGUCAUAAUGGCACUGCAGGAGGCCCAGGUUGGACAUGUCCUCUCGGGAAUGGGAGGGGGAGUUGAAAUGGUUAGUGACUGGGAAGUGCAGUUGUUGAUUGCAAACUGAGCGUAGGUGUUCUGAAAAGCGGUCCCCAAGCCUCUGCAUCGUUUCCCCAAUGUAGAGGAAGCCACAACGGGGACAGCGGAUGUUUUGGAUAUUUCUUAAGCAUUGAUUUUCAUUCAGAGUUGGUUGGAUUUUGCUGAAGCAAUAGACAUAACUCACUAUGACGUAGACAAUGUCAGAGUUCAUGUUUCGCGUCCUGUGACCCUUCCUCAGAUCCCACUCUUGACUGAUGCUGCCAGACCUGCUGAGCUUUUGCAGCAACUUCUGCUUUUGUUGCUGAUUUACAGUGCCCACAGUUUUUUUUGUUUUUUACGACACAGACAAAACUUGAUCUCUGCAGGAAGCAUGAUGCUGCAUUCUCCAACUUCCCUGCCUUUUUGUGAUAUGAUAUUGUCUUUUUAGGACAGAAGUGGCUUUUUUUUGUUUGUUUUCACUUCCGCACAUACUUUCUAUGCAGGUUAAAAGUCUACACCUUUUCAGUUCUCUGCUGCAGAAUGAAGACUUGGAACAAUUUUUUUAUGUAAAGUAGAAAAUCAGUGUGGUUUGUUUUCCAAAAUGUGAUGUCAGCUUUCCUGGAGCAAGUCUGUUUUCCUUCGGAUGAGACGACUUUCAGACAUACUCCCUUUAUUAUGAGAUUUAAUUACGGUAAAAUGAGGAGGAUUUUUAUUCACUGAGACACACAUGACUAUGUGUUUAAAGCAUUGGAAAAUGCGUUCUGUUCGGACUGUCAUGUUAUCUGGUGUUUGUACCAGGCUUUCCGAUUAAAUGCAAGUGAUUAAGGAUGCUAAUGAUGCCACAUGUUAUUACAAGAGGAAAUGAACAUACAAGUAAGGAUUUUAUGCCACAUUUAUACAUAGCAUGGACCGUGCAGCAUGGAUGCAGUGACUGAGUGAAAUGGGAUGCAGUGACUGAGUGAAAUGGGAUGCAGUGACUGAGUGAAAUGGGAUGCAGUGACUGAGGGAAAUGGGAUGCAGUGACUGAGGGAAAUGGGAUGCAGUGACUGAGGGAAAUGGGAUGCAGUGACUGAGGGAAAUGGGAUGCAGUGACUGAGGGAAAUGGGAUGCAGUGACUGAGGGAAAUGGGAUGCAGUGACUGAGGGAAAUGGGAUGCAGUGACUGAGGGAAAUGCUCACAGCGAAUUGCCCCCUCCAUCCUGACCCGCUCACAGCGACUUGCCCCUCCAGUCCAGACCCGCUCACAGCGACUUGCCCCUCCAGUCCAGACCCGCUCACAGUGACUAGCCCCUGCAGUCCUGACCCGCUCACAGCGACUUUCCCCCUCACUCCUGACCCGCUCACAGUGACUAGACCCUGCAGUCCUGACCUGCUCACAGCGACUUCUCUCUGCAGACCUGACCCACUCACAGCGAAUUACCCCUGCAGUCCUGACCCGCACGUUGCGACUUGCCCCUGCAGUCCUGACCCCCUCACAGCGACUCGCCCCUUCAGCCCUGUCCCAAUCACAAGGACUUGCCCUCUCCGUCCUUACCCGCUCACAGUGACUUGCCCCUGCAGUCCUGACCCCCUCACAGUGACCUGCCCCCUCACUCCUGACCCGCUCUACAUUGAGGAAACCAAGCAGAGGCUUGGGGACCGCUUUGCAGAACACCUCCACUCGGUUCGCAACAAACAACUGCACUUCCCAGUCGCGAACCAUUUUAACUCCCCCUCCCAUUCCUGAGACGACAUGUCCAUCAUGGGACUCCUGCAGUGCCACAAUAAUGCCACCCGAAGGUUGCAAGUACAGCAACUCAUAAUCCGCUUGGGAACCCUGCAACCCAAUGGUAUCAAUGUGGACUUCACCAGCUUCAAAAUCUCCCCUUCCCCAACUGCAUCCCAAAACCAGCCCAGUUCUUCCCCUCCCCCUACUACAUCACAAAACCAGCCCAGCUGUUCCCUUCCCCCGACUGCAUCCCAAAACCAGCCCAGCCUGUCUCCGCCUCCCUAACAUGUUGUUCCUCUCACCCAUCCCUUCCUCCCACCUCAAGUCACACCUCCAUUUCCUACCUACCACCUCAUCCUGCCUCCUUGACCUGUCCGUCUUCCCUGGACUGACCUAUCCCCUCCCUACCUCCUCACCUGUACUCUCCUCUCUACCUAUCUUGUUUUCUCUCCAUCUUCGGUCCGCAUCCCCCCCCUUCCCUAUUUAUUCCAGUUCCCUCUCCCAUCCCCCUCUCUGAUGAAGGGUCUAGGCCCGAAACAUCAGCUUUUGUGCUCCUGAGAUGCUGCUUGGCCUGCUGUGUUCAUCCAGCUCCACACUUUGUUAUCUUGGAUUCUCCAGCAUCUGCAGUUCCCAUUAUCAGUGGCAUUUUCCUCUUCAUCAAAGUUUGUGCAAAAGCAACACGAUAUGGGGCGGCACGGUGGCUCAGCGGUUAGCACUGCAGCCUCACAGCACUGGGGACCCAGGUUCAAUUCCAGCCUCAGUCUGUGUGCAAUUUGCACCUUGUCCCUGUGUCUGCGUGGGUUUCCUCCAGGUGCUCCGGUCUCCUCCCACAGUCCAAAGAUGUGCACGCUAGGUGGAUUGGCCAUGCUAAAUUGCCCAUAGUGUUCAGGGGCGUGGGUCUGGGUGGGAUGCUCCAAGGUUUGGUGUGCACUUGUUGGGCCAAAGGGCCUGUUUCCACACUGUAGGGAAUCUAAACAAUCCUGUUCCCAUAUCUCCAUGUUAUAACCCUGCUGAUCACUGCACACAGAGAUAUUUGAUAAGAAAAGGAGAACAAUAAUAUUCAAACCCAGUGCUGGAGAUGUAUUUUAAAUACACUGAGGCCAGUGUCGAUCUCCAAUUCAACUUUUAUUUACAAAUGAACUGUCUUCAACUUUAGCACUGCCUCAUUCAGAGAUAGUUGCGAGGGUGUCAGCAUCUCUGACCCUCACACUUCUUAUCUGUCAGCCAGGGCUCCCUGAUUUGGGCUGUUAAUAUGAAACAAUCAGGCAACUCAUAUUCUGAGAGGUUCAACUGGCUGACCUGGUCACAAACCAGUGCGGUGUGUUCAUCGAAAAUCAAACGUACUAGAAAGAUACCAUUCCAUACCAGUGGAAAGGAAGGCAUGAGGCUAAACUGGGGAGGGAAGGGAACUGCUUAUUGGGGGUGGCCCAGAGAGUGGAAGAAAAUCAAAUGGGAAGAAGACCAUUUGAGACUGAGGGAGAGAGAUGUAAUUGCCUGAAUGAGGCAUUCCAGUUGCGAAAUUGAUUUUAGUGUGUACACCAUGUUCAGUUUCCCCAAUCUUAAUCUGUACUCCUCUUUAAAUCAUUAGUAUCUGAAAUUUCUGUAUCAUUUCCAAAUGUUCUGUCUCUAAUGUUAUGCUGUUGGAAUUGGUUGAACUGCAGAGAUAUCAUUUAUUGGACAAAUGUGUUCAGUGAAAUGAGUUGCAUGCUAUAUAUGUAUUAUUCUUCCUGAUUCUAUUGUACGCAUACUAAUUAAAGUUAGUUCCACUUUUGAACAACAAA